Molecule: ribosomal RNA, 563 nt
Filed under: uncultured bacterium
Lineage: Bacteria
Description: partial 16S ribosomal RNA
Rfam family: Bacterial small subunit ribosomal RNA
Source: RNAcentral
UGGGGAAUUUUGGACAAUGGGCGCAAGCCUGGUCCAGCCAUGCCGCGUGCGGGAAGAAGGCCUUCGGGUUGUAAACCGCUUUUGUCAGGGAAGAAAUCUUCUGAGUUAAUACCUCGGGAGGAUGACGGUACCUGAAGAAUAAGCACCGGCUAACUACGUGCCAGCAGCCGCGGUAAUACGUAGGGUGCAAGCGUUAAUCGGAAUUACUGGGCGUAAAGCGUGCGCAGGCGGUUUUGUAAGACAGAGGUGAAAUCCCCGGGCUCAACCUGGGAACUGCCUUUGUGACUGCAAGGCUUGAGUGCGGCAGAGGGGGAUGGAAUUCCGCGUGUAGCAGUGAAAUGCGUAGAUAUGCGGAGGAACACCGAUGGCGAAGGCAAUCCCCUGGGCCUGCACUGACGCUCAUGCACGAAAGCGUGGGGAGCAAACAGGAUUAGAUACCCUGGUAGUCCACGCCCUAAACGAUGUCAACUGGUUGUUGGGAAGGUUCCUUCUCAGUAACGUAGCUAACGCGUGAAGUUGACCGCCUGGGGAGUACGGCCGCAAGGUUGAAACUAAAGGAAUUG